Sander lucioperca (pikeperch) is the source of this 125-nucleotide long non-coding RNA. RefSeq lists it as uncharacterized. The transcript is spliced from 2 exons. The record is from RefSeq and is a predicted model, not a curated record. NCBI's taxonomy places the organism in Eukaryota, Metazoa, Chordata, Actinopteri, Perciformes, Percidae.
GUCUAGCCCUUUGGCGUCAUUUUAGACGCGCUUGGUCGGGACUCUUGGCAUCACUUUUUGACGCUCUGGGUCGGGACGUACGUUUAACUGACACGCGGCACGAGAACGGGACAGUUAGGUUUAGG